Ornithorhynchus anatinus (platypus) is the source of this 3750-nucleotide long non-coding RNA. RefSeq lists it as uncharacterized. Lineage: Eukaryota; Metazoa; Chordata; Mammalia; Monotremata; Ornithorhynchidae. The transcript is spliced from 5 exons. The record is from RefSeq and is a predicted model, not a curated record.
CCCGCAUGAUGGUGAACACCCGAUUGAGCAGCUGGAGAGACGGCAGAGCCGAAGCGUCAGGCACAGGAGCGAGCACGCCCAAAGGAGCCCGGUGGCCCAAGGAAGAGAUGGUCCCCAGCCGAAGGGAAAGAAUCGGGGGCCCACCGGACGCCCCGCCCAUCCCUCGCUGGACAACGAGGAAGGACUCAUCUGGGGCCGGCUCUGACGGAGUUAUGGGCCUCUUUCCCAGCCAGGCUGACGUGGGAAUGCGGAACACGCCCCUCCUACCUCAUCAUACGUGUAAUCUCUUUCUGAGCCAGCCCAGGCAGGACCCGUCUGAUUGCUAAAUGAGAUGCCAUCAUCCUUUUUGUUGUCUUCAUCCUCCAGAGCUGCAGGUGAGAAACAGCGUUUAGGAGGGGGACCGACCCCACGUGAGGGCACAGAGCAGUUCCCUGGAGACGACCGCCCUCCUCCCCUGUAAGCUACGUGGGGCCUUUGAGCCGGGGGCAGGAGCCCCCGGUCUCCAGAACCAAGGUUGCCCAUCCCGGCGCCAGAUCCCAACGUGUGAAAAGGUCACCAGCAGACCAUGAAAUCGGGAUUUUAGAAUAGGCCCGGACCCUGGGUCCCGAGGCGGGGUGCCGGGAGUGGGCAGCAGAUCCGUGGGGUGCAACGACACCGGCCUCUCUUCCUGCCUCCGAUGCCACGUUGGGAUGGAAGAGAAUUGAGGGGGCAGGGGAACGCCCGUAGAGGCCCAGGGCAGAGCACGACAGGUGGGCAGAGGCCCCAAGUGCUCAGUCUUCCGGCGGGAUUUCCCGGACCUUCUCCCAAGCACGGCCCAGUGCGGAUGGUGUAGAAGGACCGAGUGGGCCUGGCUUCAUUCACCAAACCUCACCGGAGGAGGCUUCGGACCACCAGAUAACAGAGGAAGGCAGGCAGAGAGGGGAAGCUCAGGGAUCAGUUGCUUUUUACCAUGGAUUCUGGUGUUUCUGGGCUGCUAUUUCUCUCCGCUGCAUGUCCAACUCCCACUCCCCCACCUCGACCCCCUGGGCACUUCUGAGGCAUUGGGGGGGAACGUUGGCAGUGGGGCAGGUUCUGAAAUGGGUCGAAAGGCCCCGGUUACCUUCAUCCUUCUCGAGAAUCUCAUCCUCGUCGGGGAAUUUCACAUUCUUCUUCUUCUUCUUCUUGUUGCCCAGCAUGAUAUCAAGAUCGUCUUCGGGUUCCGCUGGCUCUGGCACAUCACUCUCGAUUUUCAGCUCCUAAGAAACCAGAAACAGACGCGUAUCACCUCGGUGAACUUCCACGGAGCACAAGGGCAAGACCAGUCCCCCUCCCGGCCGAAGUGAUUCCGAGCCAGACCUGCUUGCUUUCCCGCCGACGGUGCCCAGAGCCCAGUUGUCCCGACACGCAGCCCGUCCACCGGAAAGCUGCCCGAGUCUGGCUGUGCACGGGUCACCAGGGGCACAGCCUGAUAGGGCUCAUCCGUUCCCCCUUCCCCCGGCUCCACGGAGACUUGGAGAGGACCAAGGGAAGAGCUUCAACAGGGACCUUUGUUCUUCCAGUGUCCCUCUAAGAAGCUUUACGUCUUUUACUCAAGCUCCAAAUCUGGCCCAAGUUGAGAAGCCAGAUAGCCCGGCGGAUAGAUCCUGGGCGGGGACUCUGCGGUCUGACCCUUCUCUGUGACCCUGGGUAAGUCGUCACAUCCCCGGUCUGGGCCUCAGGUCCCUGCUGUGAGCCCGUGGGGCAGGGACUGUGUCCCCUCCGCUUCUCCUGGCUCUAAACAGCACUGGGUGGUCAGGACUGGGACCGAGAGAACGCGGCUAAGCAAGAGCCAGUGGGGAGACCUGCACUGACAGCACGUGGCGAACUGCAGAGGGUGAGAGCCGAUGCUUCUGGAGUCUAGAGAAUAGGCCUGAAACCCAGUAGGCCACAUCUCUCCUCCCCCGUGUAACACCCCAAAGCCCACGGAGCAGGAAAAUCUCUCGCAGGGUACACCCGGGCACAUUUCAAUGCCUGACUUUUCAAACACCUGGGAUGCUUGGCCCGCCGGGGCCGGGGUAACCAAUCCCCUCGGCGACAGUGGCCCAAAUGGCGGGUGGCCCUAACCAGGGGACCCCCCACCUCCCCCGCAGCACACAUACACACAUCACAACCGGCACAGAACGAGCCAGUCUCGAGGGAACCAUCACCACCAGCACGAGACGAACCUUUAUGCCUUCUUCCGCCUCAUCGAUAUCAAAGAUCUUUUUUGUUUUUUUCUUCUUUUUCUUUUGAUUGAAGAAGUUCAAGUCAUCCAAAUCAUCAGAUGCAUCUGAAAAGGCAGGACCAGUGAUUAGCAGCCUCGUCCCUCCGCCGGCCAAAGUCCCCGGUCGAGGCCCGCGUGCGGGGCUGGGGCCGCAGGCCGGCCCCGAAAGCACCUACUGACUUCCUAUCAAGUGCCCUUGCGAACGUCUUAGCCGGGAGGAGCCUGGACAUUCUGGACAGCAAAUCCGGAGUCCAAAGGCCUCCUCGGAGGCAGAAAUUCCAAGCUCCUCCCAGAAAAACGUGUGGAGGGCUGUUGAGAGAAGCCCCGUGGGCAGAAGUCAACAGCCAGAGGAACGAGGAGCAAGGGAGUAGCCGGGGAGGUGGACGAGCCACAGAACUGGAAGGAUCGUGGCUACUAACCCGAUCGUACUCCCCCUCGGGGCUUCGCACACAUCGGGCGCCCAGGAGCAACUACCGAUAGGCUCGGAUGAAGAGCCGAAGCUCCGUGUCUGGAACAACGGGAGAGGGCCGCCGGCCCCUUUGCGGAUCAGCCUCGUGGCCACACGGUACAGUCACGCGGGGGGAGCAAGACCUCGACCCCCGGGACCGGGCCAGGGAGAUUCCCAGCCCCAGGACGCAGGUGCAAGAAACCAGGCGGGCCCCGAGCUUGGCUGUCUGGUCCCCAAAUCGGGGCCGGGGUCACCUUUCUUCCGACUGUCCUCUUCAUCGGCCUCCAGGUCUCUGUCCUCCGCCGGCUCCGGCUCCACUUCCUUCGUCUCGGACGGCUGAGUCUCCUCCGUCUGGACGUCGCCCCCUUCUUCGUCCAGCAUAAAGGGCUUCUUCUUCUUCUUCUUCUUCUUGCUCAUCGUCGGGUCGAAAAUCAUCUGUUGGAACAGACGGCUUAUCGGAAGCUCCGGUUUCCGGGAAGGGCGUCGCAGACCUCUCCACGCACACCCCCCCCGACUAAACCCAGUAGAUUCCUCUCCCGGGCCCGGCCUGAAAUACGCAACUGCUCGCUGGGACACCUCGGCCGGUAAAAGAAAGCACUGAGAGAUGCAGCCCGGGGACCCGGGCCCAUCUUCUUUCACGGUGGAUGGAGCCCUCGGACCCUCGGGGACCACCCCCCCCUCACCUGGGCCCGCCCCGGCGCUUGGCACAUGAUGGAGCGCCGAACGCUCUCGGAUUUGAGUAGCAGGGACUCACCGGCGUCGGGGGACUCCGUCGGAGAAGACCACGGGCCGGCCCCAGGGACUCGGCUCCCACAGCGACCCGUUGCCUUCCGUGCCAGGAGGGCGGCGGGGUCGUCUUUACAAGAGCCGGUGGAGGCCCGCGGCCCCGGCAUCCGUCGAUCGCGUGUGCCGCCUCGCGGAGCCCCGGGACUCCGACGUGAGCAGCAGGCGGCCCGACGGGGCCGGACGUUGGCCUCGGGCGCGGGGCGGGGGGGGUUCCAUCGGGGGUCCAGAGCGCCUUCCGCACUCGCCCGAGGCGGCGUUCUGCCCCACGGAAGCCCCCGGGUAUGUUGGGGGGACG